ACUCCUACGGGAGGCAGCAGUAGGGAAGUCUUCCACAAUGGGCGCAAGCCUGAUGGAGCAACACCGCGUGAGUGAAGAAGGGUUUCGGCUCGUAAAGCUCUGUUGUUAAAGAAGAACACGUAUGAGAGUAACUGUUCAUACGUUGACGGUAUUUAACCAGAAAGUCACGGCUAACUACGUGCCAGCAGCCGCGGUAAUACGUAGGUGGCAAGCGUUAUCCGGAUUUAUUGGGCGUAAAGAGAGUGCAGGCGGUUUUCUAAGUCUGAUGUGAAAGCCUUCGGCUUAACCGGAGAAGUGCAUCGGAAACUGGAUAACUUGGGUGCAGAAGAGGGUAGUGGAACUCCAUGUGUAGCGGUGGAAUGCGUAGAUAUAUGGAAGAACACCAGUGGCGAAGGCGGCUACCUGGUCUGGCAACUGACGCUGAGACUCGAAAGCAUGGGUAGCGAACGAGGAUUAGAU
RNAcentral lists this ribosomal RNA (459 nucleotides) under uncultured bacterium. RNAcentral describes it as "bacterial SSU rRNA". It matches the Rfam family "Bacterial small subunit ribosomal RNA", at positions 335 to 783 of the family's 1533-position model. The record is from RNAcentral.